UAAGACGUAGGAGGCGAGCGUUGUCCGGAUUUAUUGGGCGUAAAGCGCGCGCAGGCGGUCGCGCAGGUCAUCUGUGAAAGCACCCGGCUCAACCGGGGUGUGGCGGGUGAAACCGCGCGACUUGAGGGCGGUAGAGGGUGGUGGAAUUCCCGGUGUAGUGGUGAAAUGCGUAGAGAUCGGGAGGAACACCCGUAGCGAAGGCGGCCACCUGGGCCGACCCUGACGCUGAGGCGCGAAGGCCAGGGGAGCGAACGGGAUUAGAUACCCCGGUAGUCCUGGCAGUAAACGAUGUCGACUGGUCGUCGGGGGGCUCGACCCCGCCGGCGGCGGAGCUAACGCGGGAAGUCGACCGCCUGGGGAGUACGGCCGCAAGGCUA
This 377-nucleotide ribosomal RNA is filed under the name uncultured bacterium. Its description in RNAcentral is "bacterial SSU rRNA". It matches the Rfam family "Bacterial small subunit ribosomal RNA", at positions 521 to 896 of the family's 1533-position model. The record is from RNAcentral.